This 22-nucleotide non-coding RNA is filed under the name Rattus norvegicus (Norway rat). The record is from RNAcentral. Lineage: Eukaryota; Metazoa; Chordata; Mammalia; Rodentia; Muridae.
UGUGAAGAUGGAAGAACGCCCA